UACGUAGGUGGCAAGCGUUGUCCGGAAUUAUUGGGCGUAAAGGGCUCGCAGGCGGUUCCUUAAGUCUGAUGUGAAAGCCCACGGCUCAACCGUGGAGGGUCAUUGGAAACUGGGGAACUUGAGUACAGAAGAGGAGAGUGGAAUUCCACGUGUAGCGGUGAAAUGCGUAGAGAUGUGGAGGAACACCAGUGGCGAAGGCGACUCUCUGGUCUGUAACUGACGCUGAGGAGCGAAAGCGUGGGGAGCGAACAGG
RNAcentral lists this ribosomal RNA (253 nucleotides) under uncultured Metabacillus sp. RNAcentral's name for it is "partial 16S ribosomal RNA". It matches the Rfam family "Bacterial small subunit ribosomal RNA", at positions 524 to 776 of the family's 1533-position model. Lineage: Bacteria; Bacillati; Bacillota; Bacilli; Caryophanales; Bacillaceae. The record is from RNAcentral.